Molecule: ribosomal RNA, 227 nt
Filed under: Bacillus sp. SN34
Lineage: Bacteria; Bacillati; Bacillota; Bacilli; Caryophanales; Bacillaceae
Description: partial 16S rRNA
Rfam family: Bacterial small subunit ribosomal RNA
Source: RNAcentral
GUGACGCUGGCGGCGUGCCUAAUACAUGCCAAGUCGAGCCGAAUGGAUUGAGUAGCUUGCUCUCAAGAAGUUAGCGGCGGACGGGUGAGUAACACGUGGGUAACCUGCCCAUAAGACUGGGAUAACUCCGGGAAACCGGGGCUAAUACCGGAUAACAUUUUGACCUGCUUGGUUCAAAUUGCAAGGCCCGCCUUCCGGCUGGCACUUAUGGAGGGACCCGCGCCGAC